This 150-nucleotide ribosomal RNA is filed under the name Streptomyces sp. KhCrAH-43. RNAcentral describes it as "partial 23S ribosomal RNA". It matches the Rfam family "Bacterial large subunit ribosomal RNA", at positions 2776 to 2925 of the family's 2925-position model. Lineage: Bacteria; Bacillati; Actinomycetota; Actinomycetes; Kitasatosporales; Streptomycetaceae. The record is from RNAcentral.
AGCAUCUAAGCGGGAAGCCUGCUUCGAGAUGAGUAUUCCCACCAACUUGAUUGGUUAAGGCUCCCAGUAGACGACUGGGUUGAUAGGCCAGAUGUGGAAGCCCGGUAACGGGUGGAGCUGACUGGUACUAAUAGGCCGAGGGCUUGUCCU